Molecule: transfer RNA, 77 nt
Filed under: Coriobacteriales bacterium
Lineage: Bacteria; Bacillati; Actinomycetota; Coriobacteriia; Coriobacteriales
Description: tRNA-Met
Rfam family: tRNA
About the family: Transfer RNA (tRNA) molecules are approximately 80 nucleotides in length. Their secondary structure includes four short double-helical elements and three loops (D, anti-codon, and T loops).
Source: RNAcentral
GGCGGUGUAGCUCAGUUGGUCAGAGCACACGGUUCAUACCCGUGGAGUCAUUGGUUCAAGUCCAAUCACCGCUACCA